Erinaceus europaeus (western European hedgehog) is the source of this 115-nucleotide ribosomal RNA. Lineage: Eukaryota; Metazoa; Chordata; Mammalia; Eulipotyphla; Erinaceidae. The record is from Ensembl.
GUCUAUGGCCAUACCACCCUGAACACGCCGAUCUUGUCUGAUCUCCGAAGCUAAGCAGGGUCAGGCCUGGUUAGUACUUGGAUGUGAGACAGUGUGCUUAGGAGGUGUGUGGAUU